This 254-nucleotide ribosomal RNA is filed under the name uncultured bacterium. RNAcentral describes it as "partial 16S ribosomal RNA". It matches the Rfam family "Bacterial small subunit ribosomal RNA", at positions 524 to 776 of the family's 1533-position model. The record is from RNAcentral.
UACAGAGGUCCCAAGCGUUGUUCGGAUUCACUGGGCGUAAAGGGUGCGUAGGUGGCUUGGCAAGUUUGACGUGAAAUCUCCGGGCUUAACCCGGAAAAUGCGUUGAAUACUGUUUGAGCUGGAGGUUUGGAGGGGGGACUGGAAUUCUUGGUGUAGCAGUGAAAUGCGUAGAUAUCAAGAGGAACACCAGUGGCGAAGGCGAGUCCCUGGACAACACCUGACACUGAGGCACGAAAGCUAGGGGAGCAAACAGG